AACGAACGCUGGCGGCAUGCCUAACACAUGCAAGUCGAACGAAGUCUUCGGACUUAGUGGCGCACGGGUGCGUAACGCGCGGGAAUCUGCCCUUGGGUACGGAAUAACUCAGAGAAAUUUGUGCUAAUACCGUAUAAUGUCUUCGGACCAAAGAUUUAUCGCCCAAGGAUGAGCCCGCGUAAGAUUAGCUAGUUGGUGAG
Molecule: ribosomal RNA, 200 nt
Filed under: uncultured bacterium
Lineage: Bacteria
Description: partial 16S ribosomal RNA
Rfam family: Bacterial small subunit ribosomal RNA
Source: RNAcentral